CAGGGAUUGCCCUAGUAACGGCGAGUGAAGCGGCAACAGCUCAAAUUUGAAAUCUGGCUUCGGCCCGAGUUGUAAUUUGCAGAGGAUGUUUCUGGCGCGGUGCCUUCCGAGUUCCCUGGAACGGGACGCCACAGAGGGUGAGAGCCCCGUAUGGUUGGACACCAAGCCUGUGUGAAACUCCUUCGACGAGUCGAGUAGUUUGGGAAUGCUGCUCAAAAUGGGAGGUAAAUCUCUUCUAAAGCUAAAUACUGGCCAGAGACCGAUAGCGCACAAGUAGAGUGAUCGAAAGAUGAAAAGCACCUUGAAAAGGGGGUUAAACAGUACGUGAAAUUGUUGAAAGGGAAGCACUUGUGACCAGACUUGUGCCGGGCGGUUCAUCCGGGGUUCUCCCCGGUGCACUCCGCCCGGUAUAGGCCAGCAUCGGUUCUUUCUGGGGGAUAAGAACGGUGGGAACGUGGCCCUCCCUCGGGAGGGUGUUAUAGCCCGCCGUACGAUACCCUGGAGGGGACCGAGGUUCGCGCUCCGCAAGGAUGCUGGCGUAAUGGUCACCAGUGACCCGUCUUGAAACACGGACCAAGGAGUCGUCCAUUAGAGCGAGCGUUUGGGUGUCAAACCCGCACGCGUAAUGAAAGUGAAAUUAGGUGAGAGCUUCGGCGCAUCAUCGACCGAUCCUGAUGUUCUCGGAUGGAUUUGAGUAAGAGUUUUAACGGACGGACCCGAAAGACAGUGAACUAUGCUUGUAUAGGGUGAAGCCAGAGGAAACUCUGGUGGAGGCUCGCAGCGGUUCUGACGUGCAAAUCGAUCGUCAAAUAUGAGCAUGGGGGCGAAAGACUAAUCGAA
Molecule: ribosomal RNA, 840 nt
Filed under: Dendrostoma shandongense
Lineage: Eukaryota; Fungi; Ascomycota; Sordariomycetes; Diaporthales; Erythrogloeaceae
Description: LSU rRNA
Rfam family: Eukaryotic large subunit ribosomal RNA
Source: RNAcentral